This 497-nucleotide ribosomal RNA is filed under the name uncultured bacterium. Its description in RNAcentral is "partial 16S ribosomal RNA". It matches the Rfam family "Bacterial small subunit ribosomal RNA", at positions 28 to 507 of the family's 1533-position model. The record is from RNAcentral.
GAUGAACGCUGGCGGCGUGCCUAAUACAUGCAAGUCGAGCGAACAGACGAGGAGCUUGCUCCUCUGACGUUAGCGGCGGACGGGUGAGUAACACGUGGAUAACCUACCUAUAAGACUGGGAUAACUUCGGGAAACCGGAGCUAAUACCGGAUAACAUGUUAAACCGCAUGGUUCAACAGUGAAAGACGGUCUUGCUGUCACUUAUAGAUGGAUCCGCGCCGCAUUAGCUAGUUGGUAAGGUAACGGCUUACCAAGGCAACGAUGCGUAGCCGACCUGAGAGGGUGAUCGGCCACACUGGAACUGAGACACGGUCCAGACUCCUACGGGAGGCAGCAGUAGGGAAUCUUCCGCAAUGGGCGAAAGCCUGACGGAGCAACGCCGCGUGAGUGAAGAAGGUCUUCGGAUCGUAAAACUCUGUUAUUAGGGAAGAACAAAUGUGUAAGUAACUAUGCACGUCUUGACGGUACCUAAUCAGAAAGCCACGGCUAACUACGUG